CUGUAAAUAGCGCUUAAAACCACAGUGGAAAAGCCACAUGCUCCUGAUACACUUGGGGGGACAUAAAGGGAAACCCACACACCCAAGGAGGAGGGCUCUGGCCAUGCAAGGCUGAAGGCCCAGUGUACUGAUAUGAAAACUGAAGCUCAGACAGAAGAGGCGACGUUGCUUUCUUAACCACUGGAUUUGCAGUGCUGUGGUUCUCAGAAGAGGCCAGGACAGGUUAAUCCACUCACUUGGGAGGCAGCCGGUGCAGAGCUGAGAAUUUACCCCAGGCUACCAGCCUUCCGGCUGAGAGAGCAAGCUGACGCACGGUUCCUCAGCUGUCCCAUGGAGCCUGUUGCGGCCAUCCACCUCCUUCAAAGGAAGGAAAUCUUUCCAUAUCACCCAGGCUGAUCUUCAACGAACUGGACUCAAGUAUUCCUCCCACCUCGGCCUCCAGGGGGGACUGUUUGACGCCAGAGUGGAGACGGUCAGGCAGCCACUCGGGCCUUGGAAGCAAAGUCAAAAAUCUCUCCCAAAUCCUCUCUCCCUGCUCCUGUUGAUUGGGUGCCCUCACCUUGCUGCACAGCGGUUAUGAUGGACUGUCCCAUGACUGCUUUCCUGGUUUGAAAACUUGGACUCUUGAAUCAAAUGAAUUCCACUUCAUAUGCUUUUAUUUUGCAGAAACAUUUCAAGUUAACUUCUCAAGGAAAAUCCUUCUGAAAUGUAAAAUUACUGAAUUCCUCCUUGUUGAAUGUACAGCUGGUAUAAAAAUGGUGCUUUGUCGUCAUGAAGAAGGUGUAUUCUGGGAUCAAACCACCUGGCUGGAGAUGCUUACUAACCUCAGUUUCUUCAUCUGACCUUACCUUUCUAAAAGAAUAAGAAGAAGAUGAUACAUAUUCCUCUAAAGUCCCAACAGGAACCUUUUCCCCUCACUCCCUCCCCAGAGAUGUGUAUCAUUUCCAUGAGUGUCUGUACUUUUACAACAUGUGCAUAUUAAUAAACAAAAUAUGACAAAUUAUUUUGUCUUAAUAUUUGCAUAAAUCUAGCCAUACUCUACACCACUUUUGCAACUUUCACUAUUAUAUAUUUUGAAGAUUAUCCGUGUUUAUGCACAUAAGUUUAUCAUUUUAACUGUUGAAUAGUGUUUCAUUAUAUGAAUUAACCAUAAUUCAUCUAUUUCCCUGAGUGACAAUUAGGUUUCUUUUUGUUUUUAUGCUCUGAUGAACAAUCUUGCAAUUAUUAUCUUUGUAUAUGUCUUCAUGUAUAAGAAAUUCUCCAGGGUAGACACUUAGAAGUAAAGGGUCUGACUCAGAGAGUCUGUGUAUUUUAAAAUGUAUUGGUUAUUGUCAAAUUGUUCCUCAAAGUAGAUGUACCAAUUUACAUUCCUACAGUGGUAUAUAACAGUUUUUUUUUCUCCACAUCCUCUUCAACACUCGUCAUUACCAG
Molecule: long non-coding RNA, 1431 nt
Filed under: Homo sapiens (human)
Lineage: Eukaryota; Metazoa; Chordata; Mammalia; Primates; Hominidae
Description: HSALNT0162798
Source: RNAcentral